CACCCGGUAGCACAUGGUGUGCAUCUGUUAAAAUUCCAAAAUGGGUUGAGAAAAAUUUAGCAGAAGGGUCCUCGUUCGAUUCGGGGUCGGGUGA
Non-coding RNA from Mycena vulgaris, 94 nucleotides. NCBI's taxonomy places the organism in Eukaryota, Fungi, Basidiomycota, Agaricomycetes, Agaricales, Mycenaceae. The record is from the annotation of a GenBank genome assembly.